Non-coding RNA from Corylus avellana, 422 nucleotides. NCBI's taxonomy places the organism in Eukaryota, Viridiplantae, Streptophyta, Magnoliopsida, Fagales, Betulaceae. The record is from RefSeq and is a predicted model, not a curated record.
AAAACAAGAAGGCGAAGGAGAUUGUGACUUUUAUUAUCUGUUUGUGGUUCAAAUUGUAUCCAUACUACUGCAGGAUGUUGCUGUCAAGGUAUUCUCCAAGCAAGAAUAUUCAGAUGAUGUAAUACAUUCCUUUAGACAAGAGGUAUCUCUUAUGAAAAGACUUCGACAUCCAAAUGUUUUGCUAUUUAUGGGAGCUGUAACUUCAGCUGAACAUCUCUGCAUUGUUACAGAGUUCCUUCCACGUGGAAGUUUGUUUCGCUUAUUACAGAGGAACACAACCAAAUUAGAUUGGAGACGGCGGGUUCAUAUGGCUUUGGAUAUAGCCCGGGGCAUGAAUUAUCUUCACCAUUUCAAUCCACCAAUCAUUCAUCGAGAUUUGAAGUCAUCAAAUCUUCUAGUGGAUAAGAACUGGACUGUGAAGG